Long non-coding RNA from Ostrinia furnacalis (Asian corn borer), 202 nucleotides. RefSeq lists it as uncharacterized. The record is from RefSeq and is a predicted model, not a curated record. The transcript is spliced from 3 exons. Lineage: Eukaryota; Metazoa; Arthropoda; Insecta; Lepidoptera; Crambidae.
GGUUGAUCUAAGCCAACCUGGACCCAGCACUGGGAAGCAGAGUAUCUCCUGGCAACCAGAUACCAAAGACGAUGCUAGCCAACCAGGAACCAGCUCUGAGAAGCAGAACGGCGUCACCAAGAAGCCAGAUCCCAGAAACGUUGCUAUCAAGCCAGGACCCAGCCAUCGGCGGCAGAGCAGCAUCAACCCCUGGCAACCAGGU